Ictidomys tridecemlineatus (thirteen-lined ground squirrel) is the source of this 69-nucleotide non-coding RNA. NCBI's taxonomy places the organism in Eukaryota, Metazoa, Chordata, Mammalia, Rodentia, Sciuridae. The record is from Rfam.
GGGGUUGUAGCUCAGUGGUAGAGUGCUUGUCUCACACGUAUGAGACCCUGGGUUUGAUCCCCAGCACCA